UCCGAGUUGUCCCCGGCAGUCUCCUUAGAGUCCCCGGCAUUACCCGCUGGCAACUAAGGACAGGGGUUGCGCUCGUUGCGGCACUUAAGCCAACACCUCACGACACGAGCUGACGACAGUCAUGCACCACCUGUGCACAGGCCCCGAAGGGCUGCCGUGUUUCCACGACAUUCCUGUGCAUGUCAAGCCCUGGUAAGGUUCUUCGCGUCGCGUCGAAUUAAUCCACAUGCUCCGCUGCUUGUGCGGGCCCCCGUCAAUUCCUUUGAGUUUUAGCCUUGCGGCCGUACUCCCCAGGCGGGGCGCUUAAUGCGUUAGCUGCGGCACAGGACCCGUGGAAAGGCCCCACACCUAGCGCCCAACGUUUACAGCAUGGACUAC
This 378-nucleotide unclassified non-coding RNA is filed under the name uncultured Actinomycetes bacterium. Its description in RNAcentral is "uncultured actinobacterium contains 16S-23S intergenic spacer region". The record is from RNAcentral. Lineage: Bacteria; Bacillati; Actinomycetota; Actinomycetes.